GACGAACGCUGGCGGCGUGCUUAACACAUGCAAGUCGAACGGAGUGGCGAACGGGUGGGUAACACGUGGGUGACCUGCCCUGCACUUCGGGAUAAGCCGGGGAAACUGCGUCUAAUACCGGAUAGUGUGGGAUGGGCCCGGGGCCUAUCAGAUUGUGGGUGGGGUAAUGGCCUACGAAGGCGGCGACGGGUAGCCGGCCUGGGAGGGUGGACGGCCACAUUGGGACUGAGACAGGGGCCAGAGGCGUACGGGAGGCAGUAGUGGGGAAUAUUGCACAAUGGGCGGAAGCCUGAUGCAGCGACGCCGGGUGGGGGAGGACGGCCUUCGGGUUGUAAACUCCUUUCACCAUAGACGCGGUAGAUGGAGAAGAAGCACCGGCUAACUACGUGCCAGCCGCCGCGGUAAUUC
Molecule: ribosomal RNA, 408 nt
Filed under: uncultured bacterium
Lineage: Bacteria
Description: partial 16S ribosomal RNA
Rfam family: Bacterial small subunit ribosomal RNA
Source: RNAcentral